Molecule: ribosomal RNA, 200 nt
Filed under: uncultured bacterium
Lineage: Bacteria
Description: partial 16S ribosomal RNA
Rfam family: Bacterial small subunit ribosomal RNA
Source: RNAcentral
ACGCUCGACACCUACGGGAUGCAGCAGUCGGGAAUAUUGCGCAAUGGAGGAAACUCUGACGCAGUGACGCCGCGUGCAGGAAGAAGGUUUUCGGAUUGUAAACUGCUUUAGACAGGGAAGAACAAAUGACAGUACCUGUAGAAUAAGCUCCGGCUAACUACGUGCCAGCAGCCGCGGUAAUCUGAGCGGGCUGGCAAGGC